Molecule: unclassified non-coding RNA, 413 nt
Filed under: soil metagenome
Description: partial contains 5.8S ribosomal RNA, internal transcribed spacer 2, and large subunit ribosomal RNA
Rfam family: 5.8S ribosomal RNA (bases 1-120)
Source: RNAcentral
GAUGAAGAACGUAGCGAAAUGCGAUAAGUAAUGUGAAUUGCGGAAUUCAGUGAAUCAUCGAAUCUUUGAACGCACCUUGCGCUCUUUGGUAUUCCGAAGAGCAUGCCUGUUUGAGUGUCAUGAAAAUAUCAACCUUGACUUGGGUUUUGUGCUCUAGUCUCGGCUUGGAAUUGGGUGCUUGCCGCUUUUACGAGCGGCUCACCUUAAAUGUAUUAGCUGGAUCUGUCUUUGAGACUUGGUUUGACUUGGCGUAAUAAGUAUUUCGCUAAGGACAUUCUUCGGAGUGGCCUCGUUUCUAGGACGCUUGUCCGCUUUCCAAUACAAGUUCCACCUCGUGGACAUGACUUUUUAUUAUCUGGCCUCAAAUCGGGUAGGACUACCCGCUGAACUUAAGCAUAUCAAUAGGCGGAGGA